UAACUCACAUCCACCAACGCCAGGGUAUUACGAGCUUUAGCUUAAAACCCAAAGGACUUGACGGUGUCCCAUCCACCUAGAGGAGCCUGUUCCAUCAUCGAUAAUCCCCGCUACACCUAACCACCCCUUGCCAAUCAGUCUGUAUACCUCCGUCGUAAACUUACCAUGUGAGUGCUCACAGUAAGUUUAAUGGCCACCAUCACCAAUACGUCAGGUCAAGGUGCAGCUUAUGGGGCGGCAGGCAAUGGGCUACAAUUUCUAUACUAGAACAAACGAAACGCUGCAUGAAAUACAGCCACGAAGGCGGAUUUAGUAGUAAAAAGAAAAUAGUGUGUUCUUUUUAACUAGGCCCUGGGACGUGU
RNAcentral lists this ribosomal RNA (362 nucleotides) under Quasipaa boulengeri (spiny-bellied frog). RNAcentral's name for it is "partial 12S ribosomal RNA". It matches the Rfam family "Bacterial small subunit ribosomal RNA", at positions 853 to 1384 of the family's 1533-position model. The record is from RNAcentral. Lineage: Eukaryota; Metazoa; Chordata; Amphibia; Anura; Dicroglossidae.